This 530-nucleotide ribosomal RNA is filed under the name uncultured Belliella sp. RNAcentral's name for it is "bacterial SSU rRNA". It matches the Rfam family "Bacterial small subunit ribosomal RNA", at positions 90 to 619 of the family's 1533-position model. Lineage: Bacteria; Pseudomonadati; Bacteroidota; Cytophagia; Cytophagales; Cyclobacteriaceae. The record is from RNAcentral.
UGAGAGUGGCGCACGGGUGCGUAACGCGUAUGCAACCUACCUAUUACAGGGGGAUAGCCCGGGGAAACUCGGAUUAAUACCCCAUAGUAUAUUGAUCUCGCAUGGGGUUAAUAUUAAAGAUUUAUCGGUAAUAGAUGGGCAUGCGUAGGAUUAGCUAGUUGGUAAGGUAACGGCUUACCAAGGCUACGAUCCUUAGGGGUUCUGAGAGGAAGGUCCCCCACACUGGUACUGAGAUACGGACCAGACUCCUACGGGAGGCAGCAGUAGGGAAUAUUGGGCAAUGGACGAGAGUCUGACCCAGCCAUGCCGCGUGCAGGAAGACGGCGUUAUGCGUUGUAAACUGCUUUUAUACGGGAAGAAAAGGCCCAUGCGUGGGACAUUGCCGGUACCGUAUGAAUAAGCACCGGCUAACUCCGUGCCAGCAGCCGCGGUAAUACGGAGGGUGCAAGCGUUGUCCGGAUUUAUUGGGUUUAAAGGGUGCGUAGGCGGGAAUUUAAGUCAGCGGUGAAAGUUCAGGGCUCAACCCUGAA